RNAcentral lists this ribosomal RNA (781 nucleotides) under Acinetobacter johnsonii. RNAcentral describes it as "bacterial SSU rRNA". It matches the Rfam family "Bacterial small subunit ribosomal RNA", at positions 58 to 833 of the family's 1533-position model. The record is from RNAcentral. Lineage: Bacteria; Pseudomonadati; Pseudomonadota; Gammaproteobacteria; Moraxellales; Moraxellaceae.
CAAGUCGAGCGGGGAAAGGUAGCUUGCUACCUUACCUAGCGGCGGACGGGUGAGUAAUGCUUAGGAAUCUGCCUAUUANUGGGGGACAACAUUCCGAAAGGAAUGCUAAUACCGCAUACGCCCUACGGGGGAAAGCAGGGGAUCUUCGGACCUUGCGCUAAUAGAUGAGCCUAAGUCAGAUUAGCUAGUUGGUGGGGUAAAGGCCUACCAAGGCGACGAUCUGUAGCGGGUCUGAGAGGAUGAUCCGCCACACUGGGACUGAGACACGGCCCAGACUCCUACGGGAGGCAGCAGUGGGGAAUAUUGGACAAUGGGCGAAAGCCUGAUCCAGCCAUGCCGCGUGUGUGAAGAAGGCCUUUUGGUUGUAAAGCACUUUAAGCGAGGAGGAGGCUACUUGGAUUAAUACUCUAGGAUAGUGGACGUUACUCGCAGAAUAAGCACCGGCUAACUCUGUGCCAGCAGCCGCGGUAAUACAGAGGGUGCGAGCGUUAAUCGGAUUUACUGGGCGUAAAGCGUGCGUAGGCGGCUUUUUAAGUCGGAUGUGAAAUCCCUGAGCUUAACUUAGGAAUUGCAUUCGAUACUGGGAAGCUAGAGUAUGGGAGAGGAUGGUAGAAUUCCAGGUGUAGCGGUGAAAUGCGUAGAGAUCUGGAGGAAUACCGAUGGCGAAAGCAGCCAUCUGGCCUAAUACUGACGCUGAGGUACGAAAGCAUGGGGAGCAAACAGGAUUAAAUACCCUGGUAGUCCAUGCCGUAAACGAUGUCUACUAACCGUUGGGGCCUUU